This 2885-nucleotide ribosomal RNA is filed under the name Aeromonas hydrophila. RNAcentral's name for it is "23S ribosomal RNA". It matches the Rfam family "Bacterial large subunit ribosomal RNA". Lineage: Bacteria; Pseudomonadati; Pseudomonadota; Gammaproteobacteria; Aeromonadales; Aeromonadaceae. The record is from RNAcentral.
UUAAGUGACUAAGCGUACAUGGUGGAUGCCUUGGCAGUCAGAGGCGAUGAAGGACGUACUAACCUGCGAUAAGCCGUGAGCAGUCGGUAAGAGACAUUACGACUCACGGAUUUCCGAAUGGGGAAACCCACUUAGCAUAAGCUAGGUAUCGCUACGUGAAUACAUAGCGUAGCGAGGCGAACCGGGAGAACUGAAACAUCUAAGUACCCCGAGGAAAAGAAAUCAACCGAGAUUCCCUCAGUAGCGGCGAGCGAACGGGGAUUAGCCCUUAAGCAUCUUGGAAGUUAGUGGAACGGUCCUGGAAAGGCCGGCGAUACAGGGUGAUAGCCCCGUACACGAAAACAACCUUGAUGUGAAAUCGAGUAGGGCGGGACACGUGACAUCCUGUCUGAAUAUGGGGGGACCAUCCUCCAAGGCUAAAUACUCCUGACUGACCGAUAGUGAACCAGUACCGUGAGGGAAAGGCGAAAAGAACCCCUGUGAGGGGAGUGAAAUAGAACCUGAAACCGUGUACGUACAAGCAGUGGGAGCCCUUCGGGGUGACUGCGUACCUUUUGUAUAAUGGGUCAGCGACUUACAUUUUGUAGCGAGGUUAACCGUAUAGGGGAGCCGUAGGGAAACCGAGUCUUAACUGGGCGUCUAGUUGCAAGGUGUAGACCCGAAACCGGGUGAUCUAGCCAUGGGCAGGUUGAAGGUUGAGUAACAUCAACUGGAGGACCGAACCCACUAACGUUGCAAAGUUAGGGGAUGACCUGUGGCUGGGGGUGAAAGGCCAAUCAAACUCGGAGAUAGCUGGUUCUCCCCGAAAGCUAUUUAGGUAGCGCCUCGGACGAAUACUACUGGGGGUAGAGCACUGUUUGGGCUAGGGGGUCAUCCCGACUUACCAACCCCAUGCAAACUCCGAAUACCAGUAAGUAAUAUCCGGGAGACACACGGCGGGUGCUAACGUCCGUCGUGAAGAGGGAAACAACCCAGACCGCCGGCUAAGGUCCCAAAGUUCUGGUUAAGUGGGAAACGAUGUGGGAAGGCUCAGACAGCUAGGAUGUUGGCUUAGAAGCAGCCAUCAUUUAAAGAAAGCGUAAUAGCUCACUAGUCGAGUCGGCCUGCGCGGAAGAUGUAACGGGGCUCAAACCAGGCACCGAAGCCGCGGAUUCACACUAAGUGUGAGUGGUAGGGGAGCGUUCUGUAAGUCUGCGAAGGUGUGUCGAGAGGCAUGCUGGAGAUAUCAGAAGUGCGAAUGCUGACGUAAGUAACGAUAAAGGGGGUGAAAAGCCUCCUCGCCGGAAGACCAAGGGUUCCUGUCCAACGUUAAUCGGGGCAGGGUGAGUCGACCCCUAAGGCGAGGCCGAAAGGCGUAGUCGAUGGGAAGCAGGUUAAUAUUCCUGCACGACUUGUAAUUGCGAUGGGGGGACGGAGAAGGCUAGGUGGGCCAGGCGACGGUUGUCCUGGUGAAAGUGCGUAGGUGGUGUUUCUAGGCAAAUCCGGAGACACAACACUGAGAUACGAGACGAACACACUACGGUGUGGAAGCCAUUGAUGCCCUGCUUCCAGGAAAAGCCUCUAAGCUUCAGAUUACAAGUCAUCGUACCCCAAACCGACACAGGUGGUCGGGUAGAGAAUACCAAGGCGCUUGAGAGAACUCGGGUGAAGGAACUAGGCAAAAUAGAACCGUAACUUCGGGAGAAGGUUCGCUCUUGACAGUGAAGUCCCUUGCGGAUGGAGCAGUUGGGAGUCGCAGUGACCAGAUGGCUGGGACUGUUUAUCAAAAACACAGCACUCUGCAAACACGAAAGUGGACGUAUAGGGUGUGACACCUGCCCGGUGCCGGAAGGUUAAUUGAUGGGGUUAGCGCAAGCGAAGCUCUUGAUCGAAGCCCCGGUAAACGGCGGCCGUAACUAUAACGGUCCUAAGGUAGCGAAAUUCCUUGUCGGGUAAGUUCCGACCUGCACGAAUGGUGUAACCAUGGCCAUGCUGUCUCCACCCGAGACUCAGUGAAAUCGAAUUCGCCGUGAAGAUGCGGUGUACCCGCGGCUAGACGGAAAGACCCCGUGAACCUUUACUACAGCUUGGCACUGAACAUUGAACCUACAUGUGUAGGAUAGGUGGGAGGCUUUGAAGGCGUGACGCCAGUUGCGCUGGAGCCGUCCUUGAAAUACCACCCUUGUAUGUUUGAUGUUCUAACGCAGGCCCGUGAAUCCGGGUCGCGGACAGUGCCUGGUGGGUAGUUUGACUGGGGCGGUCUCCUCCCAAAGAGUAACGGAGGAGCACGAAGGUUGGCUAAUCCUGGUCGGACAUCAGGAGGUUAGUGCAAUGGCAUAAGCCAGCUUAACUGCGAGACGGACAGGUCGAGCAGGUACGAAAGUAGGUCAUAGUGAUCCGGUGGUUCUGAAUGGAAGGGCCAUCGCUCAACGGAUAAAAGGUACUCCGGGGAUAACAGGCUGAUACCGCCCAAGAGUUCAUAUCGACGGCGGUGUUUGGCACCUCGAUGUCGGCUCAUCACAUCCUGGGGCUGAAGUCGGUCCCAAGGGUAUGGCUGUUCGCCAUUUAAAGUGGUACGCGAGCUGGGUUCAGAACGUCGUGAGACAGUUCGGUCCCUAUCUGCCGUGGGCGUUGGAUGAUUGAAGGGAGUUGCUCCUAGUACGAGAGGACCGGAGUGAACGAACCUCUGGUGUUCGGGUUGUCACGCCAGUGGCACUGCCCGGUAGCUAAGUUCGGAAUCGAUAACCGCUGAAAGCAUCUAAGCGGGAAGCGAGCCCUGAGAUGAGUCAUCCCUGACCCCUUGAGGGUCCUAAAGGGCCGUUGGAGACCACAACGUUGAUAGGUGGGGUGUGUAAGCGCGGCGACGUGUUGAGCUAACCCAUACUAAUUACCCGUGAGGCUUAACC